Molecule: ribosomal RNA, 244 nt
Filed under: uncultured bacterium
Lineage: Bacteria
Description: partial 16S ribosomal RNA
Rfam family: Bacterial small subunit ribosomal RNA
Source: RNAcentral
ACGAGUGGCGAACGGGUGAGUAACACGUAGGAAUCUACCCAGAAGUGGGGGACAACCCGGAGAAAUCCGGGCUAAUACCGCAUACGCCCUAAGGGGUAAAGCGGGGGACCUUUUCGAAGGCCUCGCGCUUUUGGAUGAGCCUGCGUCGGAUUAGCUUGUUGGUGAGGUAAUGGCUCACCAAGGCGACGAUCCGUAGCUGGUCUGAGAGGAUGACCAGCCACACUGGGACUGAGACACGGCCCAG